Molecule: ribosomal RNA, 492 nt
Filed under: Pseudomonas sp. CL2.56
Lineage: Bacteria; Pseudomonadati; Pseudomonadota; Gammaproteobacteria; Pseudomonadales; Pseudomonadaceae
Description: bacterial SSU rRNA
Rfam family: Bacterial small subunit ribosomal RNA
Source: RNAcentral
UUGAUCCAUGGCUCAGAUUGAACGCUGGCGGCAGGCCUAACACAUGCAAGUCGAGCGGAUGACAGGAGCUUGCUCCUGAAUUCAGCGGCGGACGGGUGAGUAAUGCCUAGGAAUCUGCCUGGUAGUGGGGGACAACGUUUCGAAAGGAACGCUAAUACCGCAUACGUCCUACGGGAGAAAGCAGGGGACCUUCGGGCCUUGCGCUAUCAGAUGAGCCUAGGUCGGAUUAGCUAGUUGGUGAGGUAAUGGCUCACCAAGGCGACGAUCCGUAACUGGUCUGAGAGGAUGAUCAGUCACACUGGAACUGAGACACGGUCCAGACUCCUACGGGAGGCAGCAGUGGGGAAUAUUGGACAAUGGGCGAAAGCCUGAUCCAGCCAUGCCGCGUGUGUGAAGAAGGUCUUCGGAUUGUAAAGCACUUUAAGUUGGGAGGAAGGGCAGUAACUUAAUACGUUGCUGUCUUGACGUUACCGACAGAAUAAGCACCGGCAA